GGUUAAGCGACUAAGCGUACACGGUGGAUGCCCUGGCAGUCAGAGGCGAUGAAGGACGUGCUAAUCUGCGAUAAGCGCCGGUAAGGUGAUAUGAACCGUUAUAACCGGCGAUUUCCGAAUGGGGAAACCCAGUGUGACUCGUCACACUAUCAUUAACUGAAUCCAUAGGUUAAUGAGGCGAACCGGGGGAACUGAAACAUCUAAGUACCCCGAGGAAAAGAAAUCAACC
This 229-nucleotide ribosomal RNA is filed under the name Salmonella enterica. Its description in RNAcentral is "partial 23S ribosomal RNA". It matches the Rfam family "Bacterial large subunit ribosomal RNA", at positions 1 to 230 of the family's 2925-position model. The record is from RNAcentral. RNAcentral also lists the same sequence under 3 other names. Lineage: Bacteria; Pseudomonadati; Pseudomonadota; Gammaproteobacteria; Enterobacterales; Enterobacteriaceae.